UACGGAGGAUCCGAGCGUUAUCCGGAUUUAUUGGGUUUAAAGGGUGCGCAGGCGGAAGAUUAAGUCGGCGGUGAAAUUUUGCAGCUCAACUGUAAAAGUGCCAUUGAUACUGGUUUUCUUGAGUGUGGAUGAAGUAGGCGGAAUUUGUGGUGUAGCGGUGAAAUGCAUAGAUAUCACGAGGAACUCCGAUUGCGCAGGCAGCUUACUAAACCAUAACUGACGCUCAGGCACGAAGGCGUGGGGAUCAAACAGGAUUAGAUACCCCGGUA
This 269-nucleotide ribosomal RNA is filed under the name uncultured prokaryote. RNAcentral's name for it is "partial 16S ribosomal RNA". It matches the Rfam family "Bacterial small subunit ribosomal RNA", at positions 524 to 792 of the family's 1533-position model. The record is from RNAcentral.